ACAUGGCUUGAGCAUUUACAAUCUUUUUGUCUAUGAAUAGGAAAUUUUUCCAUGCCCUUGGGACUGCAUCACAUCUGUGCAAGAAGACAUUAGGAAAUGAACUUAUAUAGAAAAGCUUACAGUCUUGCUCUAGAAAGCAUGAAAUUACCUUUGGAGAGGCUAUGUAGACCGACCUGUCAUGGAUCCACGUGAUGGUCAUGGAUCCACGUGAUCAAGCCAAGACUUUCUUAUUCCUGAAGGUUGCAGGAUCAACUUCAAAAUAUUAUUAGACAUGAGAGAAUCUACACAGGUGUCAUAAGCGUCUCUGUUCCCAGRACUACCUAUGAAGAUAAUUAAAAGACCUCAGACACCAGCUCACCCCUGGUUCACAUUUACAGUUGCCAUUUCUAUCAGUGGAGAAGAAGCUGGAAAAGCUGUUGGAUUUGAAUGGCAGGGAUGUUGCUUUCACUUUGCUGUGUUGUGGGUGAUGACACAGAGAUCACAGAAUCGCAGAAUGGUGGAGAUUGGAAGGCAUCUCUGGAUAUCAUCCAACCCAACCCCUCUGCAUAAGCAGGGUCAUCUAGAGCAUGUUG
Long non-coding RNA from Nothoprocta perdicaria, 572 nucleotides. RefSeq lists it as uncharacterized. The transcript has 3 exons. The record is from RefSeq and is a predicted model, not a curated record. Lineage: Eukaryota; Metazoa; Chordata; Aves; Tinamiformes; Tinamidae.